UGCCUGCAUGGAGCUGGAGGCAAUGGGCCAGGGGGCCCCACUCGAGGGAGAGAAGUGUUCGGAUAGAGGCCUAGGCAUGAAAAAGGCAAAUCUCAAAAACUCACAAUCUGUUUUUUCUUCGAUCAAACAGAAUCGAGCAGACACCUCCAUCCAGUGAGACAUUUCCUGUGAGACAGCUGUGGAAACAACUCCUCACCUUCUCCUGCCUGGGAAGGUGCUCCUCAUGCUGAAAGGAAUGUUUUGGAUAAAACAGGGUUGAGUUCAUCAAAAUGUGCUCUGCUGUCAGUCCUUCGUCCUCUCCGGAUCUAGUAGGUUCCCUUGCCUGUGGAGCUGUAGGGAAGAAAUAAGAGGACCCUCAAAUACUUAACUGCAGAAGAAUGAAUGGAAAAAUCAGUGCAUGGCUCUGCUCACUGAAUACCAGUGCUGGACA
Molecule: long non-coding RNA, 430 nt
Organism: Ailuropoda melanoleuca (giant panda)
Lineage: Eukaryota; Metazoa; Chordata; Mammalia; Carnivora; Ursidae
Exons: 3
Source: RefSeq, a predicted model, not a curated record